Molecule: non-coding RNA, 75 nt
Organism: Parelaphostrongylus tenuis
Lineage: Eukaryota; Metazoa; Nematoda; Chromadorea; Rhabditida; Metastrongylidae
Source: the annotation of a GenBank genome assembly
GCGUCAGUAGCGCAACGGAUUAGAGCACGCUCUCCAAGAUAGAGUGAAAUGCGGGUUUGGGUCCCGCCUGACGCG